This 492-nucleotide ribosomal RNA is filed under the name uncultured bacterium. RNAcentral's name for it is "partial 16S ribosomal RNA". It matches the Rfam family "Bacterial small subunit ribosomal RNA", at positions 29 to 507 of the family's 1533-position model. The record is from RNAcentral.
AGUGAACGCUGGUGGUAGGCCUAACACAUGCAAGUCGAACGGCAGCACAGUAAGAGCUUGCUCUUACGGGUGGCGAGUGGCGGACGGGUGAGGAAUACAUCGGAAUCUACUUUUUCGUGGGGGAUAACGUAGGGAAACUUACGCUAAUACCGCAUACGACCUACGGGUGAAAGCAGUGGAUCUUCGGACCUUGCGCGAUUGAAUGAGCCGAUGUCGGAUUAGCUAGUUGGCGGGGUAAAGGCCCACCAAGGCGACGAUCCGUAGCUGGUCUGAGAGGAUGAUCAGCCACACUGGAACUGAGACACGGUCCAGACUCCUACGGGAGGCAGCAGUGGGGAAUAUUGGACAAUGGGCGAAAGCCUGAUCCAGCCAUACCGCGUGGGUGAAGAAGGCCUUCGGGUUGUAAAGCCCUGUUGUUGGGAAAGAACAGCAGCAGGUUAAUACCCCGAUGUUCUGACGGUACCCAAAGAAUAAGCACCGGCUAACUUCGUG